CGACGUGAGGAACCUGCCUUGAAGAGGGGGACAACAGUUGGAAACGACUGCUAAUACCGCAUGACGCAUAGAGGUCGCAUGAUCUUUUAUGCCAAAGAUUUAUCGCUUCAAGAUGGUCUCGCGUCUGAUUAGCUAGUUGGCGGGGUAACGGCCCACCAAGGCGACGAUCAGUAGCCGGACUGAGAGGUUGAACGGCCACAUUGGGACUGAGAUACGGCCCAG
This 222-nucleotide ribosomal RNA is filed under the name uncultured bacterium. Its description in RNAcentral is "partial 16S ribosomal RNA". It matches the Rfam family "Bacterial small subunit ribosomal RNA", at positions 113 to 334 of the family's 1533-position model. The record is from RNAcentral.